RNAcentral lists this unclassified non-coding RNA (1374 nucleotides) under Hevea brasiliensis (rubber tree). The record is from RNAcentral. Lineage: Eukaryota; Viridiplantae; Streptophyta; Magnoliopsida; Malpighiales; Euphorbiaceae.
UUUUUUUUAAUAAAAAUGAUGUUUUGAGCUGUGGGUGCCUGUGUUUUUGCUUACCAGAAUUUUCGGGUUACUCACUUCUGGUAUGUUACCGUGUAUCAUUUGGUGUCCCUGUUGGUUCCUCUCUAGUUGGUUCCUUUCUAGUUGGUUGUUUUCUUUGUGUCUUCCUGUUUCACUUUUCGAUUCCUUUUUUUUUAAUGUAAUUUCUGUGCAAGUGCUAAACAAUGUUUAUCUUAUGGAAGCCUACAUUGGAAUGUCAUUUAUGUUGCUUUCUUUUGGUCUCUCAAAAGAACAAAAAAAAGAAAAAUAUGGCAUUUGUUCCUCUUACUUUUUUAGAAAGUUGCCAUUUUGGUUUAUGGCUAUGAAAAAUUAAUGCUUGUUUUGUAUUCAAGCUGGUAGUUCCCUUCCGAGUAAUUUUUUUUCUCCUCUCUUUUAUUGAUUUUACUCCAUCUUCAAGGUAUUUAAUCUUGUGUCCUUAGUGUUUUUUAACAAAAUAUUCACUUGUUAUGGGAAAAUUGUUGUCUACGAGUUUGAGCUUCACCGCCACUGGUUCUUGAUUUGGGAUUUCAGUGGAAGAACUGAGCUGGAUUUUCACUUUUUGCUUGGUCAUGACAAUGUGCAGGAAAUGGGUAUCAUUUCCAGGAAGUUAUUUCCUGCUUGUGAGAGCUUGUGCGUUUGCUGCCCUGCAUUGAGGUCCAGAUCUCGACAACCGGUCAAGCGGUACAAAAAACUGCUUGCAGAGAUAUUCCCUAAGUCGGAUGCACUUCCAAAUGAAAGAAAAAUUAUCAAGUUAUGUGAAUAUGCUGCAAAAAACCCAUUUCGAAUCCCAAAGAUUGCAAAAUAUCUUGAAGAAAGGUGCUACAAGGAACUUCGAAGUGAGCACAUCAAGUUCAUUAAUAUUGUCACAGAGACUUAUAAAAAGUUGCUUUGUGUGUGCAAGGAGCAGAUGGCAUACUUUGCUAUUAGUUUGUUGAAUGUGGUCAGUGAACUGUUGGACAAACCUAAGCAGGAUGCUUUGCUUAUACUUGGAUGCCAGACCUUAACAAUGUUCAUCUAUAGUCAGACAGAUGGAACUUACACGCAUAACAUUGAAAAAUUUGUGCACCAAGUUUGCAAGCUGGCAUGUGUUCACGGGAAUGAACAUGAGAGCCGCUUGAGAGCUUCUAGCCUGCAAUGCCUUUCAGCAAUGGUGUGGUUCAUGGCAGAGUUCUUAUAUAUUUUUGCUGCUUUCGAUGAGAUUGUACAAGUCACCUUAGAUAACUAUGAACCAGAUGUCCAUGAUGAUAUAAGAGGGGGGCCACAUCAUAAUUGGGUCGAUGAAGUAGUUAGAUCUGAAGGCAGAGGGGCAGUUGGCAGUUGUGAUACUAGCUCUAGCUG